RNAcentral lists this ribosomal RNA (16 nucleotides) under Alternaria abundans. RNAcentral's name for it is "partial 18S ribosomal RNA". Lineage: Eukaryota; Fungi; Ascomycota; Dothideomycetes; Pleosporales; Pleosporaceae. The record is from RNAcentral.
UGCGGAUGGAUCAUUA